AUUGAACGCUGGCGGCAUGCCUUACACAUGCAAGUCGAACGGCAGCACGGGAGCAAUCCUGGUGGCGAGUGGCGAACGGGUGAGUAAUAUAUCGGAACGUGCCCAGUCGUGGGGAUAACGUAGCGAAAGCUACGCUAAUACCGCAUACGAUCUAUGGAUGAAAGCGGGGGGAUCGCAAGACCUCGCGCGAUUGGAGCGGCCGAUAUCAGAUUAGGUAGUUGGUGAGGUAAAGGCUCACCAAGCCGACGAUCUGUAGCUGGUCUGAGAGGACGACCAGCCACACUGGGACUGAGACACGGCCCAGACUCCUACGGGAGGCAGCAGUGGGGAAUUUUGGACAAUGGGCGCAAGCCUGAUCCAGCAAUGCCNCGUGCAGGAUG
RNAcentral lists this ribosomal RNA (380 nucleotides) under uncultured bacterium. RNAcentral describes it as "bacterial SSU rRNA". It matches the Rfam family "Bacterial small subunit ribosomal RNA", at positions 30 to 410 of the family's 1533-position model. The record is from RNAcentral.